CUUUGGUUGUAUGCAACAAAUAAUACAACCGGGGCUAUGUUAUUAAACGUAAACCACAAGAAGAAAAGAAACACUUUAGCCUUUUCAUUUUGAUCAGUAUGGGGAAACAGUUCUACUGUAGGCCUUAAUUGCUCACUCGCUUUAGUGUUGCUGGGAAGAUCUCCUUUAGUCAUACAGUGAGCUCUAAGUAAGCUGGCCCACACAAAGGUGCAAAACCGGUUAGUUAAAGACGUGCUGUGCUUGCAGGUCGUUUCAAAGCUGUGCUGUAGUUCCCUAUUGGCUAUCAGAUGUGACAUCAAGACGUGAAGGGAACUCCAUACUUGUGGACAGAAUUACCUGCUCAGCCCCGCGCAGCUUUAAAAUCAGGUGCAGCAUUUCAGCCCUCAGGUGACAAAGGCGCGGCUCUGACUACAACCUCAGAAUCUGAUUAUGAAUCAGAAGGUGACCUAAUGACAACGUCGCAGGCUACGUCACAUGUGGCCGUCUGCCAUCGGCUCAGCAGAUUAUCACAGCUGUGAUCAGAGAGCUUACAUCAGCCUCAUGUGUGUGUUUCUGGCAGCCCGGGGAUGCAGUCAUAAGAGGGGUCUAAUGAAGGCCUGACAACCAUAUGCUGCAUAUUUAAACACCAAAAACAAUAUAAAGGAAGAUGAUUGCAAAUUGUUAAA
Long non-coding RNA from Xiphophorus hellerii (green swordtail), 665 nucleotides. RefSeq lists it as uncharacterized. The record is from RefSeq and is a predicted model, not a curated record. NCBI's taxonomy places the organism in Eukaryota, Metazoa, Chordata, Actinopteri, Cyprinodontiformes, Poeciliidae. The transcript has 2 exons.